Molecule: non-coding RNA, 213 nt
Organism: Paramuricea clavata
Lineage: Eukaryota; Metazoa; Cnidaria; Anthozoa; Malacalcyonacea; Plexauridae
Source: the annotation of a GenBank genome assembly
CAGAAAAAAAAACUUGUGCACCAAAAGUUUGAAAAAAAAAUUCGUGCAGAGACUUUUCAAUAGGGAAAAUUAUAAGUUGAGUUGUUGUUAUAAGUUUACUAUCAGGGGGAGGGGCAGAGGAGGCAAUUUGCCCCGAGCCCCCAGUGUAAGGGUGGCCCCCAAAUUUGAAAAAUAAAAAAAAUAAUUUGGAACGCUUUUUAUAUAAGUAAUGAU